GACGAACGCUGGCGGCGUGCUUAACACAUGCAAGUCGAACGGAAAGGCCCUGCUUUUGUGGGGUGCUCUAGUGGCGAACGGGUGAGUAACACGUGAGUAACCUGCCCUUGACUUUGGGAUAACUUCAGGAAACUGGGGCUAAUACCGGAUAGGAGCUCCUGCUGCAUGGUGGGGGUUGGAAAGUUUCGGCGGUUGGGGAUGGACUCGCGUCUUAUCAGCUUGUUGGUGGGGUAGUGGCUUACCAAGGCUUUGACGGGUAGCCGGCCUGAGAGGGUGACCGGCCAAAUUGGGACUGAGAUACGGCCCAGACUACUACGGGAGGCAGCAGUGGGGAAUAUUGCACAAUGGGCGGAAGCAUGAUGCAGCAACGCCGCGUGCGGGAUGACGGCCUUCGGGUUGUAAACCGCUUUCGCCUGUGACGAAGCGUGAGUGACGGUAAUGGGUAAAGAAGCACCGGCUAACUACGUG
This 468-nucleotide ribosomal RNA is filed under the name uncultured bacterium. RNAcentral's name for it is "partial 16S ribosomal RNA". It matches the Rfam family "Bacterial small subunit ribosomal RNA", at positions 28 to 507 of the family's 1533-position model. The record is from RNAcentral.